This 425-nucleotide ribosomal RNA is filed under the name uncultured bacterium. RNAcentral describes it as "bacterial SSU rRNA". It matches the Rfam family "Bacterial small subunit ribosomal RNA", at positions 354 to 796 of the family's 1533-position model. The record is from RNAcentral.
GUGGGGAAUAUUGGACAAUGGGCGCAAGCCUGAUCCAGCCAUGCCGCGUGAGUGAUGAAGGCCCUAGGGUUGUAAAGCUCUUUCACCGGUGAAGAUAAUGACGGUAACCGGAGAAGAAGCCCCGGCUAACUUCGUGCCAGCAGCCGCGGUAAUACGAAGGGGGCUAGCGUUUUUCGGAAUUACUGGGCGUAAAGCGCACGUAGGCGGGUAUUUAAGUCAGGGGUGAAUUCCCGGAGCUCAACUCCGGCACUGCCUUUGAUACUGGGUACCUAGAGUAUGGAAGAGGUAAGUGGAAUUCCGAGUGUAGAGGUGAAAUUCGUAGAUAUUCGGAGGAACACCAGUGGCGAAGGCGGCUUACUGGUCCAUUACUGACGCUGAGGUGCGAAAGCGUGGGGAGCAAACAGGAUUAGAAACCCCGGUAGUCC